CAAUAGCGUAUAUUAAAGUUGUUGCAGUUAAAAAGCUCGUAGUUGAAUUUUUGCUUGCCGCCGAUGUCGGAACUUCCGUACGUUCGGCGGCGUGCAUCCUUGGGUGGAACCUGUGUGGCAUUAGGUUGUCGUGCAGGGGAUGCUCAUCGUUUACUGUGAAAAAAUUAGAGUGUUCAAAGCAGGCUUACGCCGUUGAAUAUAUUAGCAUGGAAUAAUAAGAUAGGACCUUGGUACUAUUUUGUUGGUUUGCGCACCGAGGUAAUGAUUAACAGGGACAGUUGGGGGUAUUCGUAUUCCAUUGUCAGAGGUGAAAUUCUUGGAUUUCUGGAAGACGAACUACUGCGAAAGCAUUUACCAAGGAUGUUUNCAUUG
RNAcentral lists this ribosomal RNA (372 nucleotides) under uncultured eukaryote. RNAcentral describes it as "partial 18S ribosomal RNA". It matches the Rfam family "Eukaryotic small subunit ribosomal RNA", at positions 592 to 975 of the family's 1831-position model. The record is from RNAcentral.